Molecule: transfer RNA, 73 nt
Filed under: Candida tropicalis
Lineage: Eukaryota; Fungi; Ascomycota; Pichiomycetes; Serinales; Debaryomycetaceae
Also listed under: 2 other names
Description: tRNA-Thr (TGT) (tRNA-Thr-TGT-1-1)
Rfam family: tRNA
About the family: Transfer RNA (tRNA) molecules are approximately 80 nucleotides in length. Their secondary structure includes four short double-helical elements and three loops (D, anti-codon, and T loops).
Source: RNAcentral
GCUUCUGUAGCUAAGUGGUUAAGGCGUCGCACUUGUAAUGCGAAGAUCACAGGUUCAAAUCCUGUCCGAAGCA